UGGCGGACGGGUGAGUAACACGUGGGUAACCUGCCCAGAAGAAGGGGAUAACACCUGGAAACAGAUGCUAAUACCGUAUAACAACAAGAACCACAUGGUUCUUGUUUGAAAGCUGGCCUUUGUGCUAGUGCUUCUGGAUGGACCCGCGGCGUAUUAGCUAGUUGGUGAGAUAAUAGCUCACCAAGGCAAUGAUACGUAGCAGACCUGAGAGGGUAAUCUGCCACAAUGGGACUGAGACACGGCCCAUACUCCUACGGGAGGCAGCAGUAGGGAAUCUUCCACAAUGGACGAAAGUCUGAUGGAGCAACGCCGCGUGAGUGAAGAAGGGUUUCGGCUCGUAAAACUCUGUUGUUAGAGAAGAACAGCCGUGAGAGCAACUGCUCACGGUAUGACGGUAUCUAACCAGAAAGUCACGGCUAACUACGUGCCAGCAGCCGCGGUAAU
This 444-nucleotide ribosomal RNA is filed under the name uncultured bacterium. Its description in RNAcentral is "bacterial SSU rRNA". It matches the Rfam family "Bacterial small subunit ribosomal RNA", at positions 96 to 524 of the family's 1533-position model. The record is from RNAcentral.